Molecule: non-coding RNA, 82 nt
Organism: Triticum urartu
Lineage: Eukaryota; Viridiplantae; Streptophyta; Magnoliopsida; Poales; Poaceae
Source: Rfam
UGAGUACUAGAAGAAAAGAACCUAGGCCUAACAAAAUUAAGUGAAUACCCAAAAUAGUAGUCAUUUUAUUUCUAUCUUUCCA